AGGACGAGCGCUGGCGGCGUGCUUAACACAUGCAAGUCGAGCGGAAAGGCCCUUCGGGGUACUCGAGCGGCGAACGGGUGAGUAACACGUGAGCAACCUGCCCUUAGCUCUGGGAUAGCUCCGGGAAACCGGAAUUAAUACCGGAUAUUACACCGGCUGGCAUCGGCUGGUGUGGAAAGAUUUAUCGGCUAAGGAUGGACUCGCGGCCUAUCAGCUUGUUGGUGGGUAGAAGCCUACCAAGGCGACGACGGGUA
Molecule: ribosomal RNA, 254 nt
Filed under: uncultured bacterium
Lineage: Bacteria
Description: partial small subunit ribosomal RNA
Rfam family: Bacterial small subunit ribosomal RNA
Source: RNAcentral